This 2422-nucleotide ribosomal RNA is filed under the name Salmonella enterica. RNAcentral's name for it is "partial 23S ribosomal RNA". It matches the Rfam family "Bacterial large subunit ribosomal RNA". The record is from RNAcentral. Lineage: Bacteria; Pseudomonadati; Pseudomonadota; Gammaproteobacteria; Enterobacterales; Enterobacteriaceae.
CGGAGCGUAAGCGACGUUCAACACAAAAAUCAGGCAGUGGAGCGUUUUGGGGUGGGGUGACUGCGUACCUUUUGUAUAAUGGGUCAGCGACUUAUAUUCUGUAGCAAGGUUAACCGCAUAGGGGAGCCGGAGGGAAACCGAGUCUUAAUUGGGCGUUAAGUUGCAGGGUAUAGACCCGAAACCCGGUGAUCUAGCCAUGGGCAGGUUGAAGGUUGGGUAACACUAACUGGAGGACCGAACCGACUAAUGUUGAAAAAUUAGCGGAUGACCUGUGGCUGGGGGUGAAAGGCCAAUCAAACCGGGAGAUAGCUGGUUCUCCCCGAAAGCUAUUUAGGUAGCGCCUCGUGAAUUCAUCUCCGGGGGUAGAGCACUGUUUCGGCCAGGGGGCCAUCCCGGCUUACCAAUCCGAUGCAAACUGCGAAUACCGGAGAAUGUUAUCACGGGAGACACACGGCGGGUGCUAACGUCCGUCGUGAAGAGGGAAACAACCCAGACCGCCAGCUAAGGUCCCAAAGUCAUGGUUAAGUGGGAAACGAUGUGGGAAGGCCCAGACAGCCAGGAUGUUGGCUUAGAAGCAGCCAUCAUUUAAAGAAAGCGUAAUAGCUCACUGGUCGAGUCGGCCUGCGCGGAAGAUGUAACGGGGCUAAACCAUGCACCGAAGCUGCGGCAGCGACACUGAUGUGUUGUUGGGUAGGGGAGCGUUCUGUAAGCCGUUGAAGGUGGCCUGUGAGGGUUGCUGGAGGUAUCAGAAGUGCGAAUGCUGACAUAAGUAACGAUAAAGCGGGUGAAAAGCCCGCUCGCCGGAAGACCAAGGGUUCCUGUCCAACGUUAAUCGGGGCAGGGUGAGUCGACCCCUAAGGCGAGGCCGAAAGGCGUAGUCGAUGGGAAACGGGUUAAUAUUCCCGUACUUGGUGUUACUGCGAAGGGGGGACGGAGAAGGCUAUGUUGGCCGGGCGACGGUUGUCCCGGUUUAAGCGUGUAGGUGUGUGUUCCAGGUAAAUCCGGUUCACUUUAACACUGAGGCGUGACGACGAGGCACCACGGUGCUGAAGCAACAAAUGCCCUGCUUCCAGGAAAAGCCUCUAAGCCUCAGGUAACAUCAAAUCGUACCCCAAACCGACACAGGUGGUCAGGUAGAGAAUACCAAGGCGCUUGAGAGAACUCGGGUGAAGGAACUAGGCAAAAUGGUGCCGUAACUUCGGGAGAAGGCACGCUGACACGUAGGUGAAGUGGUUUACCCAUGGAGCUGAAGUCAGUCGAAGAUACCAGCUGGCUGCAACUGUUUAUUAAAAACACAGCACUGUGCAAACACGAAAGUGGACGUAUACGGUGUGACGCCUGCCCGGUGCCGGAAGGUUAAUUGAUGGGGUCAGCGCAAGCGAAGCUCCUGAUCGAAGCCCCGGUAAACGGCGGCCGUAACUAUAACGGUCCUAAGGUAGCGAAAUUCCUUGUCGGGUAAGUUCCGACCUGCACGAAUGGCGUAAUGAUGGCCAGGCUGUCUCCACCCGGGACUCAGUGAAAUUGAACUCGCUGUGAAGAUGCAGUGUACCCGCGGCAAGACGGAAAGACCCCGUGAACCUUUACUAUAGCUUGACACUGAACACUGGUCCUUGAUGUGCAGGAUAGGUGGGAGGCUUUGAAGUGUGGACGCCAGUCUGCAUGGAGCCAUCCUUGAAAUACCACCCUUUAAUGGCUGGUGUUCUAACGUGGGCCCGUGAACCGGGUUGCGGACAGUGUCUGGUGGGUAGUUUGACUGGGGCGGUCUCCUCCUAAAGAGUAACGGAGGAGCACGAAGGUUGGCUAAUCCUGGUCGGACAUCAGGAGGUUAGUGCAAUGGCAUAAGCCAGCUUGACUGCGAGCGUGACGGCGCGAGCAGGUGCGAAAGCAGGUCAUAGUGAUCCGGUGGUUCUGAAUGGAAGGGCCAUCGCUCAACGGAUAAAAGGUACUCCGGGGAUAACAGGCUGAUACCGCCCAAGAGUUCAUAUCGACGGCGGUGUUUGGCACCUCGAUGUCGGCUCAUCACAUCCUGGGGCUGAAGUAGGUCCCAAGGGUAUGGCUGUUCGCCAUUUAAAGUGGUACGCGAGCUGGGUUUAGAACGUCGUGAGACAGUUCGGUCCCUAUCUGCCGUGGGCGCUGGAAGAUUGAGGGGGGCUGCUCCUAGUACGAGAGGACCGGAGUGGACGCAUCACUGGUGUUCGGGUUGUCAUGCCAAUGGCACUGCCCGGUAGCUACAUGCGGAAGAGAUAAGUGCUGAAAGCAUCUAAGCACGAAACUUGCCCCGAGAUGAAUCUUCCCUGAGCCUUUAAGGCUCCUGAAGGAACGUUGAAGACGACGACGUUGAUAGGCCGGGUGUGUAAGCGCAGCGAUGCGUUGAGCUAACCGGUACUAAUGAACCGUGAGGCUUAACCUUACAACGCCGAAG